UACGUAGGGUGCGAGCGUUAAUCGGAAUUACUGGGCGUAAAGCGUGCGCAGGCGGUUCGUUAAGUCAGCUGUGAAAGCCCCGGGCUCAACCUGGGAAUGGCGGUUGAAACUGGCGAACUAGAAUCUGGCAGAGGGGGGUGGAAUUCCACGUGUAGCAGUGAAAUGCGUAGAGAUGUGGAGGAACACCGAUGGCGAAGGCAGCCCCCUGGGCUGAGAUUGACGCUCAGGCACGAAAGCGUGGGGAGCAAACAGG
This 253-nucleotide ribosomal RNA is filed under the name uncultured bacterium. RNAcentral describes it as "partial 16S ribosomal RNA". It matches the Rfam family "Bacterial small subunit ribosomal RNA", at positions 524 to 776 of the family's 1533-position model. The record is from RNAcentral.